Molecule: long non-coding RNA, 2813 nt
Filed under: Coffea arabica (coffee)
Lineage: Eukaryota; Viridiplantae; Streptophyta; Magnoliopsida; Gentianales; Rubiaceae
Description: long non-coding RNA (CARA_LNC004178)
Source: RNAcentral
GAAAAGAAAGAAAGCUCUUCAAACUUCUAGUUUCAAUUUUCUCUUUAAUCUUGAGUUUUCACCGUUUGAUUUUAAAUCCGUUCCGUACAAGUGAUCUCUUAGAGGGGGUGAAGCUCUUGGUGGUGUUGUUUUAAAAGGGGAAGCCUUAAGUUCCAACCUUUGCUUGAGUCUAAGGUGAGUUGUUAAGUUAAGAAAGUUCUUUCUUGCAUUGAUAAUGGUUAAAUUCUGAAUUGUAAGGGUUGGAUAUGUUAUUUUGUGAGUUAUAUCUUGAUUUGGGUUGAUUUAUGGUGAAGCUUUAUAUUUAAUUAUGAUUUUUCUAUUUGCAUUUGAAGUUGUCUAUGUGGCCAUGUAAGAUGAAGGGGAAUGUUAUAGAAUGAGGCUAGUUAUUAUAAAUGAUGGUUAAUUGCAAGAAAAUUUUGUUUAGAAGAAAAUUUGGACAAAGUAGGGUGUCACACCCUUCAAUUCUGGCCGGCCCUAUUCACCAUAGUUAGAGGCCGAAUUAGCUUUGGCUUAAAACAUGAAAGUUGUAGGGAAUGAGAUUUUUGAGAUGCCUGUAAAAUUUCAGGUCAAUCGGAGUAGUGUAGAGUGAGAAAAGACCGAAAUACCCCUGCUGCUCUGGUUUCAUCCGAACUUGGGAUUUGCUGCUGUAAUUAGCUAUUUUGGCUAAGAAAACUUCUGAACUGGUUGUUGAGGUCUUGUAAUGAAAUGUAGCCUGAUAUCUUAGCUAUCAUACGGCUUUAGAAUCAAUGGAUUUGGACCUAGGUAGACUGAAUUGUAGCUCAUUAACCAGAACGUGGUUUGUCCACCUGCAUUUUUGCGGUUCUGAACUAGUGUCUUGUAUUUUUGACCUAGUUGUACUCAAAACUGGAUUAAGUGACCUUCUACAUUGUUGUAGCCCUAUCUCUUUGCUUCGAAACGGUGUAUCUUACACCUUCAUCCGAUAACCGUAGCGCCAAUGGUGCCAAAACCGCAAAAUGAUGUCAAACAUUGUUUUAUCUGAAAAUGUUUCUAGCUUGCUUUUCGUAUUUAUUGUUGUAUUUAUAUGAAUUUAAGCCUAGUGAAUGGCUUUUGGACAUGCCAUGAGAUAAUUCUAUAUGACAUGUUGGGACUGAUUUGAGAAAAAUAAUGAAGCCAUUAAUGGCUGGAAAAAAUAGGUAAACACAAGGGACAUGCCGUCCGUUUAUUUUCUUGUAAAAUGAAAAAGUUAGAGUGAUUUUUAGAAAUGUAUUUUGUAUCAAAUUGGACGUAUGUCCUUGGAAGUGUUAUCGGGUCUUUUGAUAAAGGUUCGAAGGCUAAGUUUCUAUUCGAACUCGUAUAUUUUCGUUCGGUCAAUUAGGUGACCGUUUUACCAUUUUCAGAUAUGAUACCUCCUCCAUUUGAAACUUCAUAUGUUCCUUACACCUUUUCCAAAAUAUAGAGGUAUGAGUUAGGUUUUUCCGGCCACCCGUGAAUUACUUCAAGUAAGGUUUUAGUGUCCUCCGUUUAGUAUGGUUUUCAUUAACACUUUGGCUCUAUAUAUAUAUAUAUUCACUUUUAACCACACAAACAAUUGUGAAAGAAUAAUUUUCCUCGCCUAACUAUUUGGACUUUGAUUUGUUGUUGGUCAAAUGGUUCCGUUGGGCUUUCCGUUUAGUCUAUGAUACCCCAAUUAUUUUCGUCCUCCGAACCAAAUGCCUUCCUUUCACUAAAAAGUCAUUUUAUACAUUUUACGUGUUAGUUGUCGGAUUUUUCUUCGUUUCACUUACUUGUUUGGCUAGGUGAAUUGUAAUAUGCUUUCUUGAUGUAUCUUAGGUUUUCUCGGUGAUUAAGAGUAAUACCCAGAGGGAUAUUUGCACGUUAUUUUGCACACUAGGUGAGUGUUCCUUGUUUGUUAUGUUUCCUGAUUAUAUGGCUUGUUUGAAUGAUUGAUAACGUGUUAAGGGCUUUCAAUGUUUGUUAAAAUGAGUUUUCUAGGCGAGUGUGUACUUUAUCGCACUCGACCUAAAUAGAUGUGAAAUUUUCAACGAUUAAAUGAUUGAAUGCUAGUUGCGCAUGUAUGUAAGCCUUUGGGCUGAACUGGCCACUACCCUUGUUACCGGUCGUCUCGAGCCAGAAGCGGACUCGGUCGGGGCGACUAGGGACCUGGGUAAACGAUCCGAUAUACUCGAGUAUUACCCUGUAGGUUGGUGGAGCCUGGCCAAAAGCCAGGGACGGGGUGAAUGAAAUGAACGAAUGGAUGAACGAACGGGGCUUUUACUUACAAAAAUGAAAUCUUUAAACGAACGGAGGAAUAAGGGGGAAAUGUCAGGAGAACGAGCGAAUGAACGAAUUUAUGGCUCCUAGUGAGCCCGUAUCCUUUUAAUGAAUGUGUUUAUCGCUUUAUUGUACUUCUAUCUUGAAUUGUUGGUAUAUGUAUUGAAUGCAUUGAUUCUCUUGUUGCCUAUGUGAACGGAACCUCACUGAGCCUUCCAGCUCAUUCCUUUAGUUUUUGUUUUCCUUAGCAGGAGAAGACGGGCGAGGACGGAAGCUAUGUAUAGGCUAGCCGAUCUAGUACUUUUGACUCUUUGGUUAUGGUUCUCGCCCCAAUGUUUGGUGGGCUGGUUGUAUGGAGAAUGAAGAACCUUUGUACAUAAGUUUUAUUGCUUUUGGGAUGGAUAUGUAUAUAAGUUUACGUUUAAGUUUGGAAUUUUGGUUAUUUCGUUUAUUUUGUGGAUUUUAUUAUCUUCUCUUAUAGCGACUGACUGAGUCCCGGCGAGAGUUGGGCAGGCGGUCCGCUGAACCCUCUGGUUCGCCUUAGGGGGAAGUGGGGCCGUUACACUGGAUCAGUUGAUAAA